This 528-nucleotide ribosomal RNA is filed under the name uncultured bacterium. RNAcentral's name for it is "bacterial SSU rRNA". It matches the Rfam family "Bacterial small subunit ribosomal RNA", at positions 355 to 899 of the family's 1533-position model. The record is from RNAcentral.
UGGGGAAUCUUGGACAAUGGGGGCAACCCUGAUCCAGCCAUGCCGCGUGAGUGAUGAAGGCCUUAGGGUCGUAAAGCUCUUUCGCCUGUGAAGAUAAUGACGGUAGCAGGUAAAGAAGCCCCGGCUAACUUCGUGCCAGCAGCCGCGGUAAUACGAAGGGGGUUAGCGUUGUUCGGAAUUACUGGGCGUAAAGCGCACGUAGGCGGACCAGAAAGUUGGGGGUGAAAUCCCGGGGGCUCAACCCCGGAACUGCCUCCAAAACUAUUGGUCUAGAGUUCGAGAGAGGUGAGUGGAAUUCCAAGUGUAGAGGUGAAAUUCGUAGAUAUUUGGAGGAACACCAGUGGCGAAGGCGGCUCACUGGCUCGAUACUGACGCUGAGGUGCGAAAGUGUGGGGAGCAAACAGGAUUAGAUACCCUGGUAGUCCACACCGUAAAACGAUGAAUGCCAGUCGUCGGGUAGCAUGCUAUUCGGUGACACACCUAACGGAUUAAGCAUUCCGCCUGGGGAGUACGGUCGCAAGAUUAAAA